This is a long non-coding RNA of Astyanax mexicanus (Mexican tetra), 1026 nucleotides long. RefSeq lists it as uncharacterized. Lineage: Eukaryota; Metazoa; Chordata; Actinopteri; Characiformes; Acestrorhamphidae. The record is from RefSeq and is a predicted model, not a curated record. The transcript has 5 exons.
UUUGGGUGGCAGCUGUUUUGCUUUGGGAGGUAUUAGCCUGUUUUUUUUUUUUUUUUUAGGUUUUCUGGGUGCAGACUGAAAGAAAAACUCACAGACACUUACAGUUGUUUGGAGGACCUUAAAACAAUAUUCUGACGUCAUGUCAUCCAAUGCGACCCUGGAGUUGGUGUAGCACAGAAGAUGUGAACAGUGAACGGCCAUUCCUGCAGUGGACAAGGGUUCAAUUCCCUGACUGGACAGACAAGCACACCCCUUUAUACAAGUCCUACCUGGCUCCGGUGUGUGUGAGUGUCCCGCGCGCAGUAAUCCUGCCACAGCGAGCAGCGCGAGAGCCAACCCGGACAGCAGCAUGCCGGAGUGAGUGUGUGGAGCCUCGUGCCCCACUGCUCGCUCUAAUCCUCCACCUCGCUGCAGUGCUGCCAGAUUUGGACCCUUAAACAGAACUUUUUGGCCCAGGAGCUUCACUAGCGCUAAAGAAGCACCUAAACAGACGCGCUCCAGCUUUCCCUCCUCAAACACGCAUAUAAAACAGAUGCACACACACUGCUGAUGUACCACGAUCCUCAUUGAGCUGACGACAGGCCUUUUCACCAGCUCACUGUAGUACAAACCCAUCCCCCCUCUCCCCCACACCACCGAACUGAUGGAGAGCAGGAGAGAGAGCAUGCAGACAAAGAGGCUCAGCCACAGUGAAGCCAGGGAUGCUGUGAAUAGCUUUUAGUACAUGAGAGAGAGAGAGAGAGAGAGAGAGAGAGAGAGAGAGAGAGAGAGAAAUGAGAGAGAGAGAGAGAGAGAGAGAGAGAGAGAGAGAGAGAGAGAGAGAAAUAAGAGAGAAGGAUGUCUGUGUAGUGGCUCUCGACUGCCAUCUUCAGAUCAGCAGCUACAGUUCUGCACUAUAAUUAUACUAUACUAUAAUAACACUAUAAUAACUGACAUAGUAUUGACCUGCUUCUGUCAAAUAAGCAAACAUGUAUUGAAGGAACAAUAUGUAUUAGAUUUUCUGUAACUAACUAAUAAUUAAACGAU